Molecule: ribosomal RNA, 497 nt
Filed under: uncultured bacterium
Lineage: Bacteria
Description: partial 16S ribosomal RNA
Rfam family: Bacterial small subunit ribosomal RNA
Source: RNAcentral
GAUGGACGCUGGCGGCGUGCCUAAUACAUGCAAGUCGAGCGAACAGACGAGGAGCUUGCUCCUCUGACGUUAGCGGCGGACGGGUGAGUAACACGUGGAUAACCUACCUAUAAGACUGGGAUAACUUCGGGAAACCGGAGCUAAUACCGGAUAAUAUAUUGAACCGCAUGGCUCAAUAGUGAAAGACGGUUUUGCUGUCACUUAUAGAUGGAUCCGCGCCGCAUUAGCUAGUUGGUAAGGGAACGGCUUACCAAGGCAACGAUGCGUAGCCGACCUGAGAGGGUGAUCGGCCACACUGGAACUGAGACACGGUCCAGACUCCUACGGGAGGCAGCAGUAGGGAAUCUUCCGCAAUGGGCGAAAGCCUGACGGAGCAACGCCGCGUGAGUGAUGAAGGUCUUCGGAUCGUAAAACUCUGUUAUUAGGGAAGAACAAAUGUGUAAGUAACUAUGCACGUCUUGACGGUACCUAAUCAGAAAGCCACGGCUAACUACGUG